Drosophila miranda is the source of this 2395-nucleotide long non-coding RNA. RefSeq lists it as uncharacterized. The transcript is spliced from 4 exons. The record is from RefSeq and is a predicted model, not a curated record. NCBI's taxonomy places the organism in Eukaryota, Metazoa, Arthropoda, Insecta, Diptera, Drosophilidae.
CUGUCAACGUGAGAACAGCUGUCACCGUUAUAACCAGAGCUGUCCACUUUGUGGCUUUUGUGUGGGCUCGGCUGUGGUAGGGCGGUGGAACCGGUGCUGAUAAAGAAAAUACAAGGUGCAAGGAACAAGGAAGAAGGAAGAAGGGUGAAGGGUGAAGGCGGAGGAACAAAAGUUCUUGGCAGCGAGGGAGGCUGGGAUGGAAAGAUGUCCCUACAGAGCAGAGUUCUGAAACUGUGCAAACUGGGAUGUAACCAGAGCAGAGAUAUGUACAUCUUAAAGCGAUAGAAAUGUUGACAGUUUUUGGAUUUGCAUCAGGGUUAAAGACAAAACAGAUGGCAAAUGCUAGUGCUAAAUAUUUAAUAAAUGCAACAAGCGCUUUGGAUAUUAAAUUUAAUUACGGAAUAGCCCCCAUGUCUGUGAUUGCUACACCAAUGCCAGCCCAGAUAUAACGCCCAGCGUAAUUACCCUGUCAAUCUCCAUCUGCAUUUGCACAGCUCCAUAUCCAUCGAUUGCCAUUUAAUGCCGUGUCUUUGUUCAAUACACAAUCCAAUCCCAAUAACUGCAAUCAAAUUGCAAAUGAAUUGUUUAUAAUGUGACAAAAGUGGCCCAAUAUGCCUGUCAGGUGGAUGUCAAAUGCACACCUGGAAUUCGCUUGAAUUAAUUUUCAUACUCAACGCCUCUGCUGCUGCUUCAGCUUCUGAUUCUGCCAGCGGCCUCAGUCACUGCCACAGACAGCGCAGCGACAACAUAAAACGCAGCUGGGGCCGCCACUCUACACUUAUACCACUACAUUUACUUUGCUUAGUACAACAGCAAACAUGACGUCAUAGCGCUCUCAGUAGUGCUGUUGAGCUAGCGGACCACCUUGCACAUUUUAAUCAUUCGCAAAAGUAGCGGAGAGAGCGUGGGAGAGAGAGCAAAUGGGAAGAGGAGAUCGAAGAACGAAUGCUUUAGCGCCGCUCUCACUCCAAUUUUUUCACCCGGAACAAGCGCCCGUCGGCAAAUCAGCUCCGCGUUUUAUUCCCUGAAAAUGCGGAAAAUGGUGGAAAAUCCAAUGGGAAAAAUCUGGCGCAGGUGUGUGAAGUAAAGCUUAGUGUAUUGGUGCAGUGAUUAUGUACAACAAAGUGUGUUUUGGUGGAAGAAAAUGUGUUUGAUCAAAGGCGAGGGCGCAGAAAAAGGCAAAUGGCGAAAAAAAGCAGAUCUACGAAGGAAAAGUGCAGUAAUUUGUGAUAUUGUACAUAUGUAUGUAUGUUCAUAUGUAUGUAUGUGUAUAUAUUUGAUAUGUGAUAUAUGAAUAUGUUGACAAACAAAUUAUUUUUGCAUAAAUUCUUUUUUUUUCAUGUGUAGAAAUAAACAAUGCGUUAUUUUGCCGUUUUCUCACUUUUUUUCGUUUUCGCAAAAGCACCCGAAUAGAGCGUGGGAGAGAGAGCAAAUAGGAAGAGGAGCAGAAGAUCGAAGAACGAACGCAUUAGCGCCGCUCUCACUCCAAUUUUUUCACCCGGCACAUGCGCCCGUCGGCAAAUCAGCUCCGCGUUUCUAUCCCUGAAAAUGCGGAAAAUGGUGAAAAAUCCAAUCGGAAAUAUGUUGCUGGUGUGUGAAAUAAAGUUUGCUGUAGUGAUUAGAUAUAAAUGUGCAAAAAAUGUGUGUGCAAUGCAAGAAAAUGUGUUAAAUCAAGGGCGGUGGCGCAAGAUGGCCACAAAAAGGCAGCUCGACGGAGGAAAAGUGCGGCAAAGUGUGAUACAGAAAAGACGCGAAGUUAUGUCCCUUUCGCACUCAUCAUGAAAUAUCGCAGUGAAGAAGAGCAUCAAAACGGAAUGUGAGAGCGUUCAAAGGGAAGCUCAUUUUGGCGUGAGAGGCAUUCCAAAUACUGCAGAUCUGACUCUCUCCCGCUUCGAGCAUCAGCUUCCACCCUCUAAUUCCUGUAAUGCAAUAGAAUGAAGAGAGCGAAGCAAGUUCUUUCAAUUUCAUCUUUCUUUCGUUAAGGAAACGAUACCCUAUAAAGUACCCCCUAAAAAACGAAAAGCUGCUAAACAGGUAAGCAUACAAUUUUUAAGAGCAUCCAAUCAUCAGCGUUUUAUGCCCCAGCAAACAUUUUGCCACUUGUUUAAUUUUCAAUUAUAAAUUCAUAUAAAUUCAAUGCCCGACGCUGGCCAUUAUCCCACUCAUCCAGACACCGGCCCCGGCCCAGGCUACACCUGGAAAAGCCUGCCCCAUGGCCCUCGGGGCGGACACAAUGGUGGGCUUAUGGGGCCAGAGCCGCCAUUAUGUUGCCGCCUGAGUCGCCUAGAUUUCUGCUGCUGCGGCCCGGUCGAAACGUGUUCAAUAAUUUUGUCAAUAAAAUGUCAGAGCAGAGCAGCGAGAGGCAUCAUCGUAGUUGUGUUUGCCCCACACAAAA